RNAcentral lists this ribosomal RNA (797 nucleotides) under uncultured Gammaproteobacteria bacterium. RNAcentral's name for it is "bacterial SSU rRNA". It matches the Rfam family "Bacterial small subunit ribosomal RNA", at positions 58 to 848 of the family's 1533-position model. The record is from RNAcentral. Lineage: Bacteria; Pseudomonadati; Pseudomonadota; Gammaproteobacteria.
CAAGUCGAACGGCAGCACAGUACGUAGCAAUACGUACGGGUGGCGAGUGGCGGACGGGUGAGUAACGCGUAGGAAUCUGCCUUUAAGCGGGGGAUAACCCGAGGAAACUCGGGCUAAUACCGCAUAAUAUCGAGAGAUUAAAGCUAGGGCAACCUGGCACUUAAAGAGGAGCCUGCGUCUGAUUAGCUAGUUGGUAGGGUAAAGGCCUACCAAGGCGAUGAUCGGUAACUGGUCUGAGAGGAUGAUCAGUCACACUGGAACUGAGACACGGUCCAGACUCCUACGGGAGGCAGCAGUGGGGAAUAUUGGACAAUGGGGGCAACCCUGAUCCAGCAAUGCCGCGUGUGUGAAGAAGGCCUUCGGGUUGUAAAGCACUUUAGGUUGGGAGGAAGGUAUGCAGUUUAAGAGAUAGCAUAUUUGACUGUACCGACAGAAUAAGCACCGGCUAACUCUGUGCCAGCAGCCGCGGUAAUACAGAGGGUGCAAGCGUUAAUCGGAGUUACUGGGCGUAAAGGGUGCGUAGGUGGUUGUUUAAGUUAGAUGUGAAAUCCCUGGGCUUAACCUAGGAACUGCAUCUAAUACUGGAUGACUAGAGUAUUGUAGAGGGUAGUGGAAUUUCCGGUGUAGCGGUGAAAUGCGUAGAGAUCGGAAGGAACACCAGUGGCGAAGGCGGCUACCUGGACAAAUACUGACACUGAGGCACGAGAGCGUGGGGAGCAAACAGGAUUAGAUACCCUGGUAGUCCACGCUGUAAACGAUGAAAACUAGAUGUUGGGCAGCUUGACUGUUUAGUAUCG